RNAcentral lists this ribosomal RNA (308 nucleotides) under uncultured fungus. RNAcentral describes it as "eukaryotic LSU rRNA". The stretch from base 1 to 71 matches the Rfam family "5.8S ribosomal RNA", at positions 84 to 154 of the family's 154-position model. The record is from RNAcentral. Lineage: Eukaryota; Fungi.
GUGAGUCAUCGAAUCUUUGAACGCACAUUGCGCCCGCCAGUAUUCUGGCGGGCAUGCCUGUCCGAGCGUCAUUUCAACCCUCGAACCCCUCCGGUGGGUCGGCGUUGGGGACUUCGGGAACCCCUAAGACGGGAUCCCGGCCCCGAAAUACAGUGGCGGUCUCGCCGCAGCCUCUCAUGCGCAGUAGUUUGCACAACUCGCACCGGGAGCGCGGCGCGUCCACGUCCGUAAAACACCCAACUUCUGAAAUGUUGACCUCGGAUCAGGUAGGAAUACCCGCUGAACUUAAGCAUAUCAAUAAGCGGAGG